CCUACGGGUGGCUGCAGUGGGGAAUAUUGGACAAUGGGCGAAAGCCUGAUCCAGCCAUGACGCGUGUGUGAAGAAGGCCUUCGGGUUGUAAAGCACUUUCAGUGGGGAAGAAAGCCUUGGGGCUAAUACCCUCGAGGAAGGACAUCACCCACAGAAGAAGCACCGGCUAACUCCGUGCCAGCAGCCGCGGUAAUACGGAGGGUGCGAGCGUUAAUCGGAAUUACUGGGCGUAAAGCGCGCGUAGGCGGUCUGAUAAGCCGGUUGUGAAAGCCCCGGGCUCAACCUGGGAACGGCAUCCGGAACUGUCAGGCUAGAGUGCAGGAGAGGAAGGUAGAAUUCCCGGUGUAGCGGUGAAAUGCGUAGAGAUCGGGAGGAAUACCAGUGGCGAAGGCGGCCUUCUGGACUGACACUGACGCUGAGGUGCGAAAGCGUGGGUAGCAAACAGGAUUAGAUACCCGUGUAGUC
RNAcentral lists this ribosomal RNA (465 nucleotides) under Vreelandella stevensii. RNAcentral describes it as "partial 16S ribosomal RNA". It matches the Rfam family "Bacterial small subunit ribosomal RNA", at positions 338 to 795 of the family's 1533-position model. Lineage: Bacteria; Pseudomonadati; Pseudomonadota; Gammaproteobacteria; Oceanospirillales; Halomonadaceae. The record is from RNAcentral.